CCUGGGGACAGCGGGUGGCCGUCCCGCUGCGCGCCGCGCAGAGCUCAGCCGGCAGGAUGCGCGUGCACCCGGCGAUUAGAUGCUAUCUGCUUAUCGGCGGCUGCAGGGCCGGCUCUGGGCGAGGGAAGGAGAUAGCGAGCAGCGGCCGAGAGGAGAUGCGGCAGCCGAUGGGAUUUCUCUCUCUCUCCACAUCCAAUUCCAAGUUCAGUGGCUGCCCAGGAUCGCCCGCUGCCAGCUCCAUCGCUCAGCAGGGCUGGAGCUCUGCCCUCUCAUCCAGCGCUGCUUGCAGCCCUCUGCUCCGUCGGGGCCGUGUUUACACACACAGGGCAGCCCUGUUUUCCUUAGGUGUAAUUAUGCCAUCUGUAAUGCGGUUGCAAACUGUUUCUCAUGGUGGAGGGAAGGAGCUGCUGCACUGUGCUGCUGCUCGUUGCAGCCCCCGCUGUCCCUGUGGCUUUCUUCCCACCCUGCUUCUCCCAAGGACGCAGCCGUCCCCGCUUGUGGGGCCCAUGUGAUGCUCUGGACACGUUCACGCUGACAUCCCCCUGCCCACAUGGGAGGUAUGUGGGGGCCAGAAGGGAAAACCAGCAGGAAAAGCCCGCAGCUGCUCAGUCCUGUGGGCACUCUGAGCACAGCGGGCACUGCUGCUCCCCCAGGGAGCUGCCAGCAGGAGAGCAGCAGGGCUGGCUCAGGUGAUGCUUGCAGGGGGUGAACCUGUUUGUCCUGGAAAGCAGCGCUGGACGGAGGUGGGAAGGAGGCGUAGCUAACGGGAGACAUGAAAGGACAGGCUGGGAGGGAAGGUCCCCAUUCAGGGAACAAACUGCAGCAGGAAUGGAUUUUUACCCCCUGUUUACUCGAGGUUCCCCCCUGGUUCAGAGCAGAAAGGCCGUGCAUCACCAUCAGCUGCUCCGAAGCGAGAGCGCAAUUUGCUGAAUGCGUUUAUUACUAUCAGGGACUGAAAACUAUUCCCAAUCACUCGGCACUUCCCUUCAUUCUUCUCUCUUCCUCUCUCACCUCUCGGAGCGCAGUGCCCUGGCAGCGCUGCCAAGAGCCGAUCAAUCUGCUGCUAAUGGCAGCCCCAUGCCCUGCCAUUCAUCAGCCGGGUCCUUAAAGAGCAUCCGACGCUUCAUGGUCGACUUGGGGGGGGAAAAAAAAAGCCCAUUUGCAGGCGAGAUCAUAUUUUCUCCGUCUCCCCUUUUGUUCUUUAUGUGCUGAGGACAAAGGCGGCUCAGGAUGGAGGUGGGGAACAGGCAGUGGAGGGGAUGAAAUCCCACGAAACAAAAGCUCCCGUUGUUAUUCAAAUUGAGAGCAAAUUUGGGGAGGGGGGGGGAGCACAGAAGCUGUGUCCCGUGGCAGAGCAGUGGGGCAGGAGCCCUUCUUCGCCCUGAGAAGAGGAGAAGGAAUGCGGUGGAAGUUUUCCUGCAGGCAUUGGGGGCUGUUUGAGGCACGGCAAUAUUGCUCUGCACCAGGGCUGGGCUGGGGCCGGAUCCUGCCCGCUAUCACUGCCAUGAGUUGCGCUGGGCUCAGCAGGGCACAGAGGGGUCCCUUGGUGGGAUGGGGGGCUGUGGUAGUGGCACAGGGACAGAUUCCACAGGUCCCCUUGCCCCCUGCAGCACUGGGGGGAUCCGUUGCAGAAAGUGAUGUGGGAGCAGAGCCUGGAGCUCGUGGUGAGCCCUGCAGGAAGGCAGCUCCAGGAACACAGCAGCAGCAGAAACGUGGGCUCUAAGCAUGACAUUCUGGAGGCUCCUCACCCACCAGUGCCCACGAGAGCCCUGUGUGCUCGUGUCAGCCCCUUGCUGGGGUUCCCUUUCCUUGUGCCCUUAAUCCACCUCUAUGGCACAGCAUGAGCAGGGCUGGCCGCUCUGCAAACUCCUGCUCUGUGACUGCCUCUCCAAAGGGGCUUCUUGGUGACUCAGGGGGGGAUAUGCAGAGAAAAUGGAGAUUUGACAAGCCCAUCUUAAUUGCGUUUUGUUACAGCAAGGAAAGGAACUCUUCCUCUGGCUGAGCCCUGCACAGUGUCCCCAUGGGGAGCCACAGUCCUACGUGCAAAUGCCAACACCACUCACCUCGGGGGUCCCCACCGGUGCUGCAUGGAGCAGGGGCAGCCUCAAAAGCCCCAUGCUGGGUCGGGGUGGGCUGGCAGCCGUGGCACACGGGAUGGGCAGGUGUGUGGCGCUGCGCAGUGCCAUCGCUGAUGGCACCAAUGGGGCAAGGGCAGAGCAGCUGUGGUGCUGCCUGGCUCCCCGCCACCCCGUGCAGCUCGAGUCAAAUUUGGUGUCAUCCUGCAGAGGAAGAUUAUGGUAAUUUUCCUUCCCCCUUAUGCAUAAUUUUCAGACUCGGCUGCAGCAGAGGCUGUGUGGAGAGAUUGGGUGAUGGGAAUGUCAUCUGCGAUUCGAUUAUCUCCUCCUGCCUUGCCUUUUUUAUUUUUUUUUUCUUCCUUGUGAAACCUUCAUCAAAAUACAUAGAUCUAAUUAGGACAAUUACAGCGCGAGGACAGCUGAGAACCCACCCAGGCCCUCUCUGCACCGAGCUGAGUGUUGGCUGCUUGGAAACCAGCAGCUGGGGGGGUCCCGUGUGGCACUGCUCGGGGGCGGCGGUGACAUCGGGGUUCCCUGCCAGGCAGGCGGCCUCGGCUUUGUCCCCACAGCUGUGCCAUCAGCAUCUGCUGGCGACGGAUCUGUGUCACGAGCUGCAGGGUCUCAGCACCUCGCUGACACACUGCAGGGGGAGCCGACCCCCAUCCCGGCACACGGGGCAAAGCGUCCCCAUCCCUGGGGGUGCUGCUCUGCGAGGAGAGGCCGCCCGUCAGCCUGCAGCUCCGCGUCCCUCAUUGGUAUUCUGUUCCCGCUCGGUGGCAGCCGGCAGGAUGGGAGCGGAGUGACAGCGGUGACAGGUCCCUCGGAGAUGGCAGCAGAGCAGACCCAAAGGCUGUGAGCAGAUCCAAGCCCUCCUCAUCUGCACUCCCGAUGGCCUCGAAGGGGUUAACUCACACCCCGCAGCCUUCAUGCUCUCUUUCUGCCAGCAAAGCUUUUCUUCCCUAAAUUCCUGCUUGCCCAGGAAGGCAAGACGAAGCCUGAGCUGCUGCAACAACACCCAGGAACAAGUAUUAUUAUGUGGUGUGACAAUGUUUGAUGAAUUCAUAUGCGCCUAGGGGAAGGGACUAAGUAGGUGAAUAAAGUGAGAAUAUUCUCUGUGACAAUCAAUACCCCUUCAAUUGAACCGUCUCCACAGAUGUGACAUUUUGAUUUUUCUUCUUUGGACGUACUAACUGGAUUUAUGUCCUCUUAAAGUGGAAACAGCGGGGAGUGAAGUGCUGGCAGCGGAUGGCGCAGCGGGG
Molecule: long non-coding RNA, 3334 nt
Organism: Gallus gallus (chicken)
Lineage: Eukaryota; Metazoa; Chordata; Aves; Galliformes; Phasianidae
Source: Ensembl